This is a long non-coding RNA of Tachysurus vachellii, 1175 nucleotides long. RefSeq lists it as uncharacterized. The record is from RefSeq and is a predicted model, not a curated record. Lineage: Eukaryota; Metazoa; Chordata; Actinopteri; Siluriformes; Bagridae. The transcript has 4 exons.
GGAAAUGCUAGCUUACUCUUAGAGAGGAGUGAAAGGCCCCAUCACAUGUGACAUUUGCUCCCUCAAAGCACUGGUUUUAAGCAGCGGAUAAAAGUUUGCAACAGAGAGCAUUGUUUUUGGACAGAAAAUAGGAAGAGAUGUUACCUAAUGAGUUCCUUUUUGCUCUAAUCCAUCUUUCAGCAUUUGUCAGUAGUCACAUAUAUGUGGAACAGCAACCAGCCUCUGUACAUCUCUCUGAAGGGGAAAAUGUUACCCUGUCAUGUCACAUGCGUGCAGAUGAAGACAUGAAAAUUUCUCAUUUCACUGUAGAGUGGCACAGGGGAGAUGAGCACAGACAACACAAGGUCAAAAACAUUUCCCAGCUCAGAGGACGGUUGCAAGAGAUCACUAAUAUAAACCAGCACAGUGCAAGCCUUUCACUCUCCAUGCUCAAGCUAAAUGACACUAGCAAGUACUUCUGCAUUUUCUUCAUCCGGAUUGAUCAGAAAGUAUUGCAGCAUUAUACGAACGGCACAAACCUUGUUGUCCAAGAGGAGUUGACUACAGCAAUGUCCAUCCUCAGUACCACAGUUAAUACUAAUAAUAACACUGGUAACAAUACUGAUGCUGAUACUGAAUACGAGAAUGUGAAUAUCCUUCACACUUUUCUAAUUUUUCUUCCAUUAUCAUUAAAGUUUGUGUCAGCUAUGUUUAUAUGCUUUUAUACUUUGUUUUCCUAUACAUCCGUUAUUAUUUUCUGUCCUGGUUAGGUUUACCUAAAACUGUAACAUGACAUGUUGCUAAACAUCUUAAAACGUCUCCUAUUUUUUUGUGGGAUGUGGUAGCCUAGUGAUUAAUUUGUUGGGCUACCAAUCGGAAUGUUGUAAGUUUGAUUCAUAUGUCUACCAAGCUGCCACUGCUGGGCCCCUGAGCAAGGCCCUUAACCCUCAAUUGCUCAGUUGUAUAAAAAAUGUAUAUAAAAAUGUAAAAAGAUAAAAUUUAAAUUGCUCUGGAUAAGGGUGUCUGUUAAAUGCUGAAAAUGUAUUUUUCACUUAACCUAAGUGACUCUUAUGACUCAUAAACACCCACAGAUAAUUACUACAAAAAGUCCGUUCAUGCAUAUAUUAUAUAAUUAUGACAAUGUGUGAUGUUUUUUCAACGUGUGACUUUUCUAACAUGCCCUCAAUUGUAAAAAA